GGGAAUUUUGGACAAUGGGCGAAAGCUUGAUCCAGCAAUGCCGCGUGUGUGAAGAAGGCCUUCGGGUUGUAAAGCACUUUUGUCCGGAAAGAAAUCCUUUGGGUUAAUACCUCGGGGGGAUGACGGUACCGGAAGAAUAAGCACCGGCUAACUACGUGCCAGCAGCCGCGGUAAUACGUAGGGUGCAAGCGUUAAUCGGAAUUACUGGGCGUAAAGCGUGCGCAGGCGGUUUUGUAAGACGGAUGUGAAAUCCCCGGGCUUAACCUGGGAACUGCAUUCGUGACUGCAAGGCUAGAGUAUGGCAGAGGGGGGUAGAAUUCCACGUGUAGCAGUGAAAUGCGUAGAGAUGUGGAGGAAUACCGAUGGCGAAGGCAGCCCCCUGGGCCAAUACUGACGCUCAUGCACGAAAGCGUGGGGAGCAAACAGGAUUAGAUACCCUGGUAGUCCACGCCCUAAACGAUGUCAACUAGUUGUUGGGGAUUCAUUUCCUUAGUAACGAAGCUAACGCGUGAAGUUGACCGCCUGGGGAGUACGGUCGCAAGAUUAAAACUCAAAGGAAUUGACGGGGACCCGCACAAGCGGUGGAUGAUGUGGAUUAAUUCGAUGCAACGCGAAAAACCUUACCUACCCUUGACAUGUACGGAAUCCUGCUGAGAGGUGGGAGUGCUCGAAAGAGAACCGUAACACAGGUGCUGCAUGGUUGUCGUCAGCUCGUGUCGUGAGAUGUUGGGUUAAGUCCCGCAACGAGCGCAACCCUUGUCCUUAGUUGCUACGCAAGAGCACUCUAGGGAGACUGCCGGUGACAAACCGGAGGAAGGUGGGGAUGACGUCAAGUCCUCAUGGCCCUUAUGGGUAGGGCUUCACACGUCAUACAAUGGUCGGUAUAGAGGGCUGCCGAACCGCGAGGUGGAGCUAACCCCAGAAAACCGAUCGUAGUCCGGAUCGCAGUCUGCAACUCGACUGCGUGAAGCUGGAAUCGCUAGUAAUCGCGGAUCAGCAUGUCGCGGUGAAUACGUUCCCGGGCCUUGUACACACCGCC
Molecule: ribosomal RNA, 1039 nt
Filed under: uncultured Pandoraea sp.
Lineage: Bacteria; Pseudomonadati; Pseudomonadota; Betaproteobacteria; Burkholderiales; Burkholderiaceae
Description: bacterial SSU rRNA
Rfam family: Bacterial small subunit ribosomal RNA
Source: RNAcentral